GACGAACGCUGGCGGCGCGCUUAACACAUGCAAGUCGAACGGAAAGGCCUGCUUUCCCUUGUGGAUUGCGGGUACUCGAGUGGCGAACGGGUGAGUAACACGUGAGUGAUCUGCCCCCAACUUGGGUAUAAGCCUGGGAAACUGGGUCUAAUUCCCGAUAGGACUGCAGGGUGGUGCCUGUGGUGGAAAACGAUUUUCUAGUGGUUGGGGAUGAGCUCGCGGCCUAUCAGCUUGUUGGUGGGGUAAUGGCCUACCAAGGCGGCGACGGGUAGCCGGCCUGAGAGGGUGGACGGCCACAUUGGGACUGAGAUACGGCCCAGACUCCUACGGGAGGCAGCAGUGGGGAAUAUUGCACAAUGGGCGGAAGCCUGAUGCAGAGACGCCGCGUGGGGGAUGACGGCCUUCGGGUUGUAAACUCCUUUCGACCGCGAGGAAGCCACCUGGUUGGAAGGGUGGUGACGGUAGUGGUAGAAGAAGCACCGGCUAACUACGUG
Molecule: ribosomal RNA, 494 nt
Filed under: uncultured bacterium
Lineage: Bacteria
Description: partial 16S ribosomal RNA
Rfam family: Bacterial small subunit ribosomal RNA
Source: RNAcentral